CUUGACUAGCUGAGAGAGGUGCAUGGCCGUCGUCAGUUCGUACUGUGAAGCAUCCUGUUAAGUCAGGCAACGAGCGAGACCCACGCCAACAGUUGCCAGCUCGUCCUCCGGGGAUGGUGGGGACACUGUUGGGACCGCCUCUGCUAAAGAGGAGGAAGGAAUGGGCAACGGUAGGUCAGCAUGCCCCGAAUUAUCUGGGCUACACGCGGGCUACAAUGGGUGGGACAAUGGGUAUCGACACCGAAAGGUGAAGGCAAUCUCCUAAACCCAUCCGUAGUUCGGAUUGUGGGCUGCAACUCGCCCACAUGAAGCUGGAAUCUGUAGUAAUCGUGUCUCAAAAUGGCACGGUGAAUAUGUCCCUGCUCCUU
Molecule: ribosomal RNA, 368 nt
Filed under: uncultured Methanomicrobiales archaeon
Lineage: Archaea; Methanobacteriati; Methanobacteriota; Methanomicrobia; Methanomicrobiales
Description: bacterial SSU rRNA
Rfam family: Archaeal small subunit ribosomal RNA
Source: RNAcentral